RNAcentral lists this ribosomal RNA (338 nucleotides) under uncultured bacterium. RNAcentral's name for it is "bacterial SSU rRNA". It matches the Rfam family "Bacterial small subunit ribosomal RNA", at positions 1 to 334 of the family's 1533-position model. The record is from RNAcentral.
CUAGCGACUUCAGAGUUUGAUCCUGGCUCAGGAUGAACGCUGGCGGCGUGCAUAACACAUUCAAGUCGAACGGAGUAAAGAGCUUCGGUUCUUUACUUAGUGGCGGACGGGUGAGUAACGCGUGAGCAACCUGCCUUUGUGUGUGGGAUAACGUUUGGAAACGAACGCUAAUACCGCAUGAUGCAAGGAGAUCGCAUGGUCUUUUUGCCAAAGAUUUAUUGCACAAAGAUGGGCUCGCGUCUGAUUAGAUAGUUGGUGAGGUAACGGCCCACCAAGUCGACGAUCAGCAGCCGGACUGAGAGGUUGAACGGCCACAUUGGAACUGAGAAACGGUCCAG